GCUCAGAGAUGAAGACAAACUGGGGACUUUGGGUUAGUUGGAUUGUUCUUUAUUUUGGUAUUUCUCUCUAAAAUAACAAAUGACAACAUUACCAAUAAUCAGUAACAUUAUAAAUCAUCAUGUCGAUGUUUGUUAACAGUUAAAAUAACUUUUAACUGAAGUUUAAUUUCCUGUUUAUCACUGCUGGUUGUUAUAAAGAGUUACUGCUCCUCUGAUCUCUGUUGUCAGUGUUUCUGGUUCUACAGGAUUCUUUCUGUCUCCUCCUCUUUCUCCUCCUCCUCCGCCUGAUGAAGCUGAAACAGGUUUGUUGUUUUGCUGUCCGAGACAAAGGUUUCAGUCGACACACACGAUAAGAUGUCUGGGUGUCCCAGAGGUCUUCCAGGUCCAGCUGCAGUGUGAGAAACCCUCCAAUCAGAGCAGUCCAGACCCAGACCCUGCUGAACCUGAACCCAGCUGUGUCCAUGAAGAGAAUGGAGACACCACUACUUUACUUUAAAACAUAAAAAAGAAGCCAGCCUGAAAUGGAGAGGCCAACUAAAAUGGAGGAGGGGAGAAAUAAAAUAGAGAGGCUACUUGAAAUGACGAAUAGAAGGGGGACCCAGCAGAGACCAGAACCUGAACCUGAACCCAGCUGUGUGUCCUUUAAGAGUGACCGGUCACAUGAUUGCCCCAUUGACUUUAAAGGAGACCAACCCUCUGCUGAAAAGAGAGUGGACCAGGAGAGCUCAGAACUUCCCAGU
Molecule: long non-coding RNA, 740 nt
Organism: Perca fluviatilis (European perch)
Lineage: Eukaryota; Metazoa; Chordata; Actinopteri; Perciformes; Percidae
Exons: 4
Source: RefSeq, a predicted model, not a curated record